GUACUAGCUACAACGUUACAUAUUCUAAAAUUCGAAUGAUAUAGAGAUUAGCAUGGCUCCUAUGGAAGGAUGACGAGCAAAAUCGUGAAUCGUUCCAUAUCGUA
Non-coding RNA from Octopus bimaculoides (California two-spot octopus), 104 nucleotides. The record is from Rfam. Lineage: Eukaryota; Metazoa; Mollusca; Cephalopoda; Octopoda; Octopodidae.